GCACCUGUAGCUCAAUGGAUAGAGCUUUUGACUACGGAUCAAAGGGUUGGGGGUUCGAAUCCCUCCAGGUGCG
This 73-nucleotide transfer RNA is filed under the name Acidobacteriota bacterium. RNAcentral's name for it is "tRNA-Arg". It matches the Rfam family "tRNA". Rfam says of the family: Transfer RNA (tRNA) molecules are approximately 80 nucleotides in length. Their secondary structure includes four short double-helical elements and three loops (D, anti-codon, and T loops). Lineage: Bacteria; Pseudomonadati; Acidobacteriota. The record is from RNAcentral. RNAcentral also lists the same sequence under 5 other names.